Molecule: ribosomal RNA, 497 nt
Filed under: uncultured bacterium
Lineage: Bacteria
Description: partial 16S ribosomal RNA
Rfam family: Bacterial small subunit ribosomal RNA
Source: RNAcentral
GAUGAACGCUGGCGGCGUGCCUAAUACAUGCAAGUCGAGCGAACGGACGAGAAGCUUGCUUCUCUGACGUUAGCGGCGGACGGGUGAGUAACACGUGGAUAACCUACCUAUAAGACUGGGAUAACUUCGGGAAACCGGAGCUAAUACCGGAUAAUAUUUUGAACCGCAUGGUUCAAAAGUGAAAGGCGGUCUUGCUGUCACUUAUAGAUGGAUCCGCGCUGCAUUAGCUAGUUGGUAAGGUAACGGCUUACCAAGGCAACGAUGCAUAGCCGACCUGAGAGGGUGAUCGGCCACACUGGAACUGAGACACGGUCCAGACUCCUACGGGAGGCAGCAGUAGGGAAUCUUCCGCAAUGGGCGAAAGCCUGACGGAGCAACGCCGCGUGAGUGAUGAAGGUCUUCGGAUCGUAAAACUCUGUUAUUAGGGAAGAACAUAUGUGUAAGUAACUAUGCACAUCUUGACGGUACCUAAUCAGAAAGCCACGGCUAACUACGUG